GGGAUUGCCUAAACCCCAUGUCGAAAGCUGAUUAAUCUUGAAAGGACAACUGGGGUGACACCGUGUUUGGGGAAAAGCAUACAGACUCCAAGAGGUCUUCUGACAGAUGGUUAUUUCAGGUUUCAGGGUGUCUGAGGACAUGAAUUGGCUUGGCUUCUCAUCUCCACUUCCAGAGCUGCCAGCCUGGGAGAAGGAAAUAAACUGCUGACCUUCAGGAAGUUGGCCAAGCUAAAGUUGACAUUCCUGGACUCUUCGGGGAUUUCAUUAUAGCGAAUGGUCACAUGAGGAAUGAUGGCGAGCAGCAAGGAAUGCAGGGCG
Molecule: long non-coding RNA, 318 nt
Organism: Columba livia (rock pigeon)
Lineage: Eukaryota; Metazoa; Chordata; Aves; Columbiformes; Columbidae
Exons: 3
Source: RefSeq, a predicted model, not a curated record